AGCGAACGCUGGCGGCAGGCCUAACACAUGCAAGUCGAACGAACUCUUCGGAGUUAGUGGCGGACUGGUGAGUAACACGUGGGAACGUGCCUUUUGGUUCGGAAUAACUCAGGGAAACUUGUGCUAAUACCGAAUGUGCCCUUCGGGGGAAAGAUUUAUCGCCAUUAGAGCGGCCCGCGUCUGAUUAGCUAGUUGGUGAGGUAACGGCUCACCAAGGCGACGAUCAGUAGCUGGUCUGAGAGGAUGACCAGCCACACUGGGACUGAGACACGGCCCAGACUCCUACGGGAGGCAGCAGUGGGGAAUCUUGCGCAAUGGGCGAAAGCCUGACGCAGCCAUGCCGCGUGAAUGAUGAAGGUCUUAGGAUUGUAAAAUUCUUUCACCGGGGACGAUAAUGACGGUACCCGGAGAAGAAGCCCCGGCUAACUUCGUG
This 433-nucleotide ribosomal RNA is filed under the name uncultured bacterium. RNAcentral's name for it is "partial 16S ribosomal RNA". It matches the Rfam family "Bacterial small subunit ribosomal RNA", at positions 29 to 507 of the family's 1533-position model. The record is from RNAcentral.